RNAcentral lists this RNase P RNA (358 nucleotides) under uncultured Roseburia sp. RNAcentral's name for it is "Bacterial RNase P class A". It matches the Rfam family "Bacterial RNase P class A". From Rfam's summary of the family: Ribonuclease P (RNase P) is a ubiquitous endoribonuclease, found in archaea, bacteria and eukarya as well as chloroplasts and mitochondria. Its best characterised activity is the generation of mature 5'-ends of tRNAs by cleaving the 5'-leader elements of precursor-tRNAs. Lineage: Bacteria; Bacillati; Bacillota; Clostridia; Lachnospirales; Lachnospiraceae. The record is from RNAcentral.
GUAGGACAAAUGAUCGCGGCCCGGCAUUGCCGGGGUGAGGAAAGUCCGGGCUUCACAGGGCAGGAUGCCGGAUAACGUCCGGUAGAGGCGACUCUAAGGAUAGUGCAACAGAAAUAUACCGCCCCAUGUCUUAGACAUGGAGUAAGGUUGGAAGGGCAGUGUAAGAGACUACCGCCUCUCUGGUAACAGGGAGGGCAUAUGUAAACCCCAUCCGAAGCAAGACCGAACAAAAGCGUUGACGUGGCCCGCCAGCUUUAGGUAGGUUGCUUGAGGUGACUGGUAACAGUCAUCCUAGAUAGAUGAUCAUUCCGGCUGUGUUUUCACAGCUUAGACAUAACCCGGCUUAUCGACCUGCUUA